Dreissena polymorpha is the source of this 894-nucleotide long non-coding RNA. RefSeq lists it as uncharacterized. The record is from RefSeq and is a predicted model, not a curated record. The transcript is spliced from 3 exons. Lineage: Eukaryota; Metazoa; Mollusca; Bivalvia; Myida; Dreissenidae.
UAGCACACUUCGUCAUUCCUUUUGCUCACGAACACUUGAUAACAACCGAACUAACAUUACCAGUACUCUGCAUUUUGUGUUAAUUUCCAAAAUGCUUUCAACGAUUGUUGUUUUGAUCAUUUUGUUAGGCUGUGGCAAUAUUAAUUCGAUCAAGACAAGCGGAAUGCGGAUAACAAAUACCGCCGUAUCAGAGACAAUGCGCGUUCUUACCGGAAAAAUAGUGGACCAACAGGAAAAACUUGAGAUAAUGGAGCAGCGCUUACAAGCAUUGGAGAGAUCGGCUCAUAGUGAAUCCAAACAUAUUAAAAUCCGACAAGCGGAGGUUUCUAGUGUAGCGUUCACAGCGUGCGUUUCGGCACAGGACGUAAUCAAUAUCGGACAUGGUCAAACGAUUGUGUUCGACCAGGUGAAAACAAAUACCGGAAAUGCGUACAAACGGACGACGUGAAUUUUCACAGCUCCUUGGAACGGCGUCUACGGCUUUCAUCUGUCUGUCAUGGUCCUGGAAUCGAAUGCUUUGUAUCUCCAACUUGUCAAGAACGGCGAAUACUUUGACACGAUGGUUAUUUAUGGCAACGGACAUUUCACCACUGUAAGCGAGUUCUGGAGCAUUGAGCUUGCAAAAGGUGACGACGUUUGGAUCCGAACUGAUACGCAAUACGUUGAUGGGCACCUUGGUACACUUCACGGAUGGUGUAACACCCAGUUUUCAGGCUUCUUAAUCAACUAGUUAACGCUUCAGCGGUUAAGACAACUAGCGACUGAAAAUAUUAAUUGUCUGUACCAGCUAUACACACUGUACAACUUUUCUAAUUGUGUACUUUUAUUUUUGUAUUUUCUCAAACCUAAAUUGACGAUUUUUUGCAUGAAAUUUAAUAAAUGUAUUUAUUCGUA